GCUCCAGAUCUGGCUGCAACAUCUGCCACCCCAUUGGCCACCAGGGUUGAUUUAGCUGAUCUGGCUGGCUUGGCGGGUGCCCCCCUCCUCCUCACCGCUCCAUGUGCAUCCUUCCCGAAACUGCACACUCAAUCAAAAAGGACCGGCCUUCCCCGAAUAGAGACGGGCCAGUCUUCGGUAGAGGGUAUAUGAGUAGCUGCACUCCAAUGCUAGAACCUCCAAACAAGCGUACAUAUAUAAUGUCAAAAAUAGAUAUUUAUUAAUCUAUUAACUUUAGACGAUUUAUUUUGUAAGAAUCAAAAAUAUAAAAAUU
This 313-nucleotide small nuclear RNA is filed under the name Sorex araneus (European shrew). RNAcentral describes it as "7SK RNA (ENSSARG00000018285.1)". It matches the Rfam family "7SK RNA". From Rfam's summary of the family: 7SK was discovered as an abundant small nuclear RNA in the mid-70s but a possible function has only recently been suggested. Two independent studies have found that 7SK RNA binds the CDK9/cyclin T complex (known as elongation factor P-TEFb). Lineage: Eukaryota; Metazoa; Chordata; Mammalia; Eulipotyphla; Soricidae. The record is from RNAcentral.